RNAcentral lists this ribosomal RNA (525 nucleotides) under uncultured bacterium. RNAcentral describes it as "bacterial SSU rRNA". It matches the Rfam family "Bacterial small subunit ribosomal RNA", at positions 791 to 1315 of the family's 1533-position model. The record is from RNAcentral.
UAGUCCACGCCGUAAACGAUGUCUACUAGCCGUUGGGAGACUUGAUUUCUUAGUGGCGCAGCUAACGCACUAAGUAGACCGCCUGGGGAGUACGGCCGCAAGGUUAAAACUCAAAUGAAUUGACGGGGGCCCGCACAAGCGGUGGAGCAUGUGGUUUAAUUCGAUGCAACGCGAAGAACCUUACCAGGCCUUGACAUCCUGAGAACUUCCUAGAGAUAGGUUGGUGCCUUCGGGAACUCAGUGACAGGUGCUGCAUGGCUGUCGUCAGCUCGUGUCGUGAGAUGUUGGGUUAAGUCCCGUAACGAGCGCAACCCUUGUCCUUAGUUGCCAGCACGUAAUGGUGGGAGCUCUAAGGGGACUGCCCCGGCUAACGGGGAGGAAGGUGGGGACGACGUCAAGUCAUCAUGGCCCUUACGUCCAGGGCUACACACGUGCUACAAUGGCCGGUACAACGGGCAGCUAAACAGCGAUGUUAAGCGAAUCCCUUAAAACCGGUCUCAGUUCGGAUUGGAGUCUGCAACUCGA